AAACCAGCACCUCAAGUGGUCAGGAGGAUUAUUGGGCCUAAAGCAUCCGUAGCCUGUUCUAUAAGUUUCCGGUUAAAUCCAUUAGCUCAACUAAUGGGCUGCCGAAAAUACUGUAGAACUAGGGAGUGGGAGAGGUAGACGGUAUUCGGUAGGAAGGGGUAAAAUCCUUUGAUCUAUUGAGGACCACCUGUGGCGAAGGCGGUCUACCAGAACACGUUCGACGGUGAGGGACGAAAGCUAGGGGAGCAAACCGGAUUAGAAACCCCAGUAGUCC
Molecule: ribosomal RNA, 274 nt
Filed under: uncultured bacterium
Lineage: Bacteria
Description: partial 16S ribosomal RNA
Rfam family: Archaeal small subunit ribosomal RNA
Source: RNAcentral